This 855-nucleotide ribosomal RNA is filed under the name Microbacterium aerolatum. RNAcentral describes it as "bacterial SSU rRNA". It matches the Rfam family "Bacterial small subunit ribosomal RNA", at positions 1 to 869 of the family's 1533-position model. The record is from RNAcentral. Lineage: Bacteria; Bacillati; Actinomycetota; Actinomycetes; Micrococcales; Microbacteriaceae.
CCCUAGAGUUUGAUCCUGGCUCAGGAUGAACGCUGGCGGCGUGCUUAACACAUGCAAGUCGAACGAUGAAGCCCAGCUUGCUGGGUGGAUUAGUGGCGAACGGGUGAGUAACACGUGAGCAACCUGCCCCUGACUCUGGGAUAAGCGCUGGAAACGGCGUCUAAUACUGGAUACGAACAAGAAUCGCAUGGUUACUUGUUGGAAAGAUUUUUUGGUUGGGGAUGGGCUCGCGGCCUAUCAGCUUGUUGGUGAGGUAAUGGCUCACCAAGGCGUCGACGGGUAGCCGGCCUGAGAGGGUGACCGGCCACACUGGGACUGAGACACGGCCCAGACUCCUACGGGAGGCAGCAGUGGGGAAUAUUGCACAAUGGGCGGAAGCCUGAUGCAGCAACGCCGCGUGAGGGAUGACGGCCUUCGGGUUGUAAACCUCUUUUAGCAGGGAAGAAGCGAGAGUGACGGUACCUGCAGAAAAAGCGCCGGCUAACUACGUGCCAGCAGCCGCGGUAAUACGUAGGGCGCAAGCGUUAUCCGGAAUUAUUGGGCGUAAAGAGCUCGUAGGCGGUUUGUCGCGUCUGCUGUGAAAUCCCGAGGCUCAACCUCGGGCCUGCAGUGGGUACGGGCAGACUAGAGUGCGGUAGGGGAGAUUGGAAUUCCUGGUGUAGCGGUGGAAUGCGCAGAUAUCAGGAGGAACACCGAUGGCGAAGGCAGAUCUCUGGGCCGUAACUGACGCUGAGGAGCGAAAGGGUGGGGAGCAAACAGGCUUAGAUACCCUGGUAGUCCACCCCGUAAACGUUGGGAACUAGUUGUGGGGUCCAUUCCACGGAUUCCGUGACGCAGCUAACGCAUUAAGUCCCC